CAUCGGCUGCACUGACUUUAACGAAAUAUUCAGUUCCAAAUUCAUAUUGUUUGCGGGCAGUCGAAACAUUUAAAAUGGGCGGAAUAAAAUUUAACGGAGUUUUGUUACUGAUGGUCCUUCAAAUAUUCUUGGUGGCUACAACAACUGUAGAUGAAGUGAGAUCAAAGACAUAAUACUAAGAAGAAUAAAGAGUGAUUAAAGUGUAUACGUUUUCUUCCUAUCAGACGUAUGAAUCAGACCAAAGAACUGUAAAACCGUUGCUCGAUAUUAUUAGACAGGUCAGAAAUAAGUUAGAACAAAGUGAAACUAAGGAAAAGCAGAUAAGUGAAUUAAAUUCUGAUCUUAUGGAAAAAUAUCAUGAAAUUGUAAGAAUUCAUGAAACAUUCAUGAAGGAGGCAGCUCUAUUAAAUAAGUAUAAAAACAAAGUAAUCAAAGGGGAAAGCGAUUUGCAAUUGUGUCAAAAUAAAGUUGAUAAAUCUGAAUCUAAAAUUAAUUCACAACAAAAUAUUAUUCUUAAAUUAAAAGAACAACUAACAGAUAAAUCCACAUACUUAGAAAAUUGUCAAAUUCAAUUAAAAUCUUUUAAUUCUAGUUUAAUUGAAAAAGAUGAAUAUAUUAAAAAUAACACAGAACAUCAGAGAACACUCGAAUUUGAAUUAGAGAAGAGUAAAUCUAUAUUAAUAAAUCAUGAAAAUGAUAUUCAGUUAUGUCGUUCAGAAAUCAACAAAUUAAAUAGCACAUCAAAGAACAUUAGAGAAGAACAGAAAGAGAUUCAAUUGAAGUUAACAGAAUGUGAAACUAAGCUAAGUCAAUCUGAACUUGAUAAAUUAAAUCCCACAACAUGCAUCCCUUUCGGAGAAUAUUCAGGAGUUAAUCAACUCAAUGUCUCUGGCAUAGGUUUAUUCAAUGUUUUGUGCGAUAGUCAGUUAGCUGGACCUGGAUGGAUUGUAAUACAACAACGAGUUGGGGGAGAUGAGAAUUUCAAUAGGGAUUGGGCAACGUAUCGCAAAGGUUUCGGUUCUUUUGAAAGUGAUUUCUUUCUUGGUCUAGAGAAAAUACAUCGUAUCACGAGCUUGCAGCGUUUCGAACUUUACAUACAUUUGGUUGAUAAGAAUGGAAGAACGUACUACGCUCGCUAUGACGACUUCAAAAUAUCUGAUGAAGAUAAUGGAUAUGCACUGAGUUUGGGUGAAUUCAGUGGAACUCGUUUUUUUUUGAUGACAUGAGAAAGUCUGAAAACAUGAAAUUCUCAACAUUCGAUCACGACAACGACAGAAAUGAUUAUGAUAAUUGCGCAGACUUGUAUGAAAGUGGCUGGUGGUACAAUUAUUGUACUCGUGGUUAUUUAAAUGCACCAUAUGGGCCAGAUCUACUUUGGUUUGACUAUAAGUUCAUUUUACUUGAGGAAGUUAAGAUGCUAAUUCGCCCCAAAGAAGCGAUGAUAAAGUGAUAAACUGAUAAGCUGAAAUUCCCAUAUUUGACUCAAUUAUGUAAUCAUUUAACAUAUAUAUAAUUGGUGCAUUAAGAAAUUGCGUUCUGAAAAAUAAAACGAUCGACUAUCUAAUGCAGCGAUUUAUUUUUUGAAUGGAAAUAGAUCAGUUUUUAAUGCAUUUAUUGUAUAUUUUGAUGUAGCAAAUUUUAAAUUUUUUUAGCUAUAGAGGUGCAAAUACUUAAAAGUCGGCAAACUUAUGAAUGAUUAUCCCGUAUAUAUCCUUUCAGUCGAACAUUGAAUAUUAAUGUAAUUUAGGAAAUGAUCUUCACAUAUUCGUUUCUUAUCUAAACAUAAAUGUUACUAAUAAUACAUAACAAAUUAUGUUUUUGCAACAUUAGUUGAUGAAAAAAUGAAUUCAACCAAAAAACAGUGCCGAGUGUGCUCGACUGCGAAAUACCAGCUAGCCAUUUUGAAUAAAAGCAAAAUAUUACGGUGUAGAAUAUGCCAUAU
Drosophila sulfurigaster albostrigata is the source of this 1942-nucleotide RNA transcript. It is a transcript of the gene named fibrinogen-like protein 1, with no coding region annotated. The record is from RefSeq and is a predicted model, not a curated record. The transcript is spliced from 3 exons. NCBI's taxonomy places the organism in Eukaryota, Metazoa, Arthropoda, Insecta, Diptera, Drosophilidae.